AUAGAAUGGCGGUAGUGUAGGGACAAAUUGAGCUUCUCAGAUCUGACUUGACUAACUCACAUGCACAGUGUCACCAGCAGCUGUGGGCCAUCUUCUCACUCCUCCAAACUACCGGGAUGUCCCACCCUCAGUCAGGAACUUGGGACCAAGGAAUGCCAUCUAGCAAUGACAUAGGCCCCUGCUUUGUACACUGCAUGUCACAGAACAUUUUGCCACCCUUUUCUAAUGAAAUUGAAGUGGAAUCUAUAGUGUGUAUGUUUUUUCUUGCCAACUCUUAGCUCACUAGAUAUGCUGCAAAUAUCUAAUAUUGUGUGGUUGUCAGCCUCUAAGAUGGCCCAAAUGAUAGCUGCCUCCUCGUAUUCACACUUUUGUGUAAUCCUCUUCCUUUGAGUGUGGGCUGGACCUUGUGACUCACUCCAUAUGGAUAGAGAACCGCAGAAGUGAUGGGCUGUCACUUCUGAGAUUAGGUGAUAAAAAGACUGUCUUCUGUCUUAGGUGCUCUCUCUCUCAUUCUCUCUUGAUUUUGUUGCUCCAAGGAAAGCCAGCUGCCAUCCCACAAGGCAGCACUGAGAAGAAUGUUGCCAACAGCCAUGUGAGUGAGCGGGAAGCAGCUCCUCCCAGCUGAGACUUGAGAUGACAGCAACCCUGGCUGACACCUUGACUGAAGCCUUUUGAAAGACCCUGAACAAGAACCACCUGGCUAAGCUGCUUCUGAAAUCCUGAGCCACAGAAACUGUACAAUAGUAGAUGUUGUUUUCAGCUUUUAGGUUUUGGAAUAACUUUGGUACACAGCAAUAGAUAACUAAAACAUAUCAUAACAUGUUAUGCAUCAGAGACGGGGAUAAGCCCUUUACAUCUCAUUUGCUUUUCACAACCCCAUACAGGCAUACUGCUGUUACCGUGUGGGCUGAGUCAUUAAUGCAGAAUCAAAGCUGUAGAAUGUCCAUUUGUUGCUGAAAGAGCUGUCAGCGAGUCCACAGGGAAGCUCAGUGGCCACCAUUACCUGAACAUCUUCCCAAUGUACCCAAAUUCAGGGUUAAUAGUUUUAAGCCCUAAAAACAUGAAGAGGCUUUUGUUUUUGUUUCUACUAAUUCUGCAGUUCUCCAUGUGGUCAUCCAAGGUUCUGAAAUACACAGAAAUGUGUACAGACUAAGGCAAGGUGCCCCUCUCUCCUCAGUGACAGCAAGUCUUGGGAGAAAGGUGUUUACCACGUCUAUGGAGGCACACUGGGCCCGCUGGACCAGGCGCAGGACAGCUAUGAAAUGAACUGCUCCCUCCAGGGAGUGAGAAGAUGCAUCUCCUGUCCAAGGUACCCUCCAAACUGCAGGAGAGAAAUGCUGGCACCCACAGAGGGACGGGUGUGCUGCGAGCUCUUGGCUGGAAAGAAAAGAGAAGAAAGUUACAGAGGAAUCAUGUAAACAGCAGAAUACAGAUUCUCAUUCAAAGGUUAUUUAUGACGCUGAGGUGGAUCAAAUGAAAAAUACAUGGCUAAAAUGAAAUAAGUAAAGUACUAAAAUUCUUAUGUUUUUUGAUUACAAUAAACAGUGCUUCACUGCUUAA
Molecule: long non-coding RNA, 1560 nt
Organism: Diceros bicornis minor
Lineage: Eukaryota; Metazoa; Chordata; Mammalia; Perissodactyla; Rhinocerotidae
Exons: 2
Source: RefSeq, a predicted model, not a curated record